AUUGAACGCUGGCGGCAGGCCUAACACAUGCAAGUCGAGCGGAUGAAGGGAGCUUGCUCCUGGAUUCAGCGGCGGACGGGUGAGUAAUGCCUAGGAAUCUGCCUGGUAGUGGGGGAUAACGUCCGGAAACGGGCGCUAAUACCGCAUACGUCCUGAGGGAGAAAGUGGGGGAUCUUCGGACCUCACGCUAUCAGAUGAGCCUAGGUCGGAUUAGCUAGUUGGUGGGGUAAAGGCCUACCAAGGCGACGAUCCGUAACUGGUCUGAGAGGAUGAUCAGUCACACUGGAACUGAGACACGGUCCAGACUCCUACGGGAGGCAGCAGUGGGGAAUAUUGGACAAUGGGCGAAAGCCUGAUCCAGCCAUGCCGCGUGUGUGAAGAAGGUCUUCGGAUUGUAAAGCACUUUAAGUUGGGAGGAAGGGAAGUAAGUUAAUACCUUGCUGUUUUGACGUUACCAACAGAAUAAGCACCGGCUAACUCCGUG
RNAcentral lists this ribosomal RNA (484 nucleotides) under uncultured bacterium. RNAcentral's name for it is "partial 16S ribosomal RNA". It matches the Rfam family "Bacterial small subunit ribosomal RNA", at positions 30 to 507 of the family's 1533-position model. The record is from RNAcentral.